AGCGAACGCUGGCGGCAGGCUUAACACAUGCAAGUCGAACGGGCGUAGCAAAUACGUCAGUGGCAGACGGGUGAGUAACGCGUGGGAACGUACCUUUUGGUUCGGAACAACCCAGGGAAACUUGGGCUAAUACCGGAUAAGCCCUUACGGGGAAAGAUUUAUCGCCGAAAGAUCGGCCCGCGUCUGAUUAGCUAGUUGGUGAGGUAACGGCUCACCAAGGCGACGAUCAGUAGCUGGUCUGAGAGGANGAUCAGCCAC
Molecule: ribosomal RNA, 258 nt
Filed under: uncultured bacterium
Lineage: Bacteria
Description: partial 16S ribosomal RNA
Rfam family: Bacterial small subunit ribosomal RNA
Source: RNAcentral